This 471-nucleotide ribosomal RNA is filed under the name Bacillus sp. (in: firmicutes). Its description in RNAcentral is "bacterial SSU rRNA". It matches the Rfam family "Bacterial small subunit ribosomal RNA", at positions 992 to 1463 of the family's 1533-position model. The record is from RNAcentral. Lineage: Bacteria; Bacillati; Bacillota; Bacilli; Caryophanales; Bacillaceae.
UGACAACCCUAGAGAUAGGACUUUCCCUUCGGGGACAGAGUGACAGGUGGUGCAUGGUUGUCGUCAGCUCGUGUCGUGAGAUGUUGGGUUAAGUCCCGCAACGAGCGCAACCCUUGAUCUUAGUUGCCAGCAUUCAGUUGGGCACUCUAAGGUGACUGCCGGUGACAAACCGGAGGAAGGUGGGGAUGACGUCAAAUCAUCAUGCCCCUUAUGACCUGGGCUACACACGUGCUACAAUGGACAGAACAAAGGGCUGCGAGACCGCAAGGUUUAGCCAAUCCCACAAAUCUGUUCUCAGUUCGGAUCGCAGUCUGCAACUCGACUGCGUGAAGCUGGAAUCGCUAGUAAUCGCGGAUCAGCAUGCCGCGGUGAAUACGUUCCCGGGCCUUGUACACACCGCCCGUCACACCACGAGAGUUUGCAACACCCGAAGUCGGUGAGGUAACCUUUAUGGAGCCAGCCGCCGAAGGU